AUGGACGCGAGUGCUCGUUCCCGGAGACUCAGAGCACCUCCAUCCAUUCCCUUGCACCAAGAACUUCCCUUCCUCACCAUGGAUCCAUUCAGAGAAGAAAGACCGGGAUCUGUCGACCACACGCGAAGAAUUUCACAUGUGCGUGUACACUGUUCUUCAACUUCACCACACCGUUCCAUCCAACUCGGGAGUGACGAUGAUGUUGGACAUGGACAGAAACAGGUUACCGAAGAAGGACUCAACAACGAAGAGUUACCUGGAGACGAAGAUGAUGACUACGACUACUAUGGCGAUCUGUAG
This 300-nucleotide ribosomal RNA is filed under the name Triticum aestivum (bread wheat). RNAcentral's name for it is "partial small subunit ribosomal RNA". The record is from RNAcentral. Lineage: Eukaryota; Viridiplantae; Streptophyta; Magnoliopsida; Poales; Poaceae.